Molecule: unclassified non-coding RNA, 200 nt
Filed under: soil metagenome
Description: partial contains internal transcribed spacer 2 and large subunit ribosomal RNA
Source: RNAcentral
UUGGAUGUUGCUGGGUCUUAACGACUCGGCUCGUCUUAAAAGCAUUAGCUGUCUCUCACGACUUCAGUUAACGGUGUGAUAAUUACAUCUACGCCGAAGCCUUCGGGCGCUGAGUCGGGUUAAAGCGGCUUCUAAUCGUCUUCGGACAAUUUCAUUUCACAUCUGGCCUCGAAUCAGGUAGGACUACCCGCUGAACUUAA